UCACUGGGAGCGCCCACGGCCGCAAUUUC
RNAcentral lists this small RNA (29 nucleotides) under Bombyx mori (domestic silkworm). Its description in RNAcentral is "ovarian small RNA-25449". Lineage: Eukaryota; Metazoa; Arthropoda; Insecta; Lepidoptera; Bombycidae. The record is from RNAcentral.